UUUUAGUAUUUAUUUUAACAUUAAUCUAUAUGUAAAUUUUUGUGUUUUUAAACUCUAAAAGAGUUAAAAUGUAUGUGUUAGCAGUAGAUAAUAUUAUUGAUAUUAAGUAAAUUUAGAUUUGGUGAAUGUUAAUUAGGAUUGGUUAAAGCUGUGCCAGCAUCCGCGGUUAUACAGCGAAUUCAAGUGAAUAUUUUUGGUUUUGAAGUAAUUAUUAUUAAAAUUGUUAAUCAGUGAAGGCAUUUUUAGGUGAAAUACAUAAAUUGCUUUUGAAGUUAAGAGGUUAGUAAGAUUUUAUGAAAUUAAACUUAUAAACUAGGAUUAGAUACCCUAUUAUUUUUAAUGUGAAAAGAUAAAGCCUGAGUAUUAUUAGAUAUGAUCUUGAAACUUAAAGAAUUUGGCGGUAUUAUAGUCUAUUUAGAGGAAUCUGUUAUGUAAUCGAUAGUCCACGUUGAACCUUACUUAUAUUAAUUCUUGUAUACCGCUGUUUAAUGAAUAUACUUUUAGGUUAUUUUCUGGAAAAAUAAGUAAUUAGAAUUUCAAGUCAAGGUGCAGUUAUAUGUAAGAUAAAUAAUGGAUUACAAUAAAUUUUAUUUAAUAUGAAUAAUUAUUGUAAUAAUAAUUUGAAGGUGGAUUUAAUUGUAAUUUUUUGAAGAUUGUUUAUAUGAUUUAUAGCUCUAUAAUAUGCACACAUCGCCCGUCGCUCUCGUUAUUAAGAUGAGAUAAGUCGUAACAAAGUAGGUGUAUCGGAAGGUGUACCUAGAAAUAUAAUAAU
RNAcentral lists this non-coding RNA (772 nucleotides) under Sceptuchus simplex. The record is from RNAcentral. Lineage: Eukaryota; Metazoa; Arthropoda; Insecta; Mantodea; Nanomantidae.